AGGACGUUUGUAUGACGGAAACACACAAUCCCGCACAGGCAGCCUAAGACCUCUGUCAUAAUUGGCCUUAGGAGCUGGGAACACAGAUACAUCAUUUCAGUGUUGGGUGGUAUGAGGCAGGAACAAAAGCUGGCAGAUGAAAGAAGCAAGCUCUUAACCACCACCAAGGCCUCUGAAGGAAGCAACUAUGAGGUGUUUUGAUGCUUCAUGAGCAAGGAAUGUUUCUGUUCCCGUGGGGCUCUGGGAUGCAGCAUAAAAGACCAUGCUGCUGCAGGCUCUGCAUCCACUUCUCUUCUCUCUCCCUUUCCCUGAGGAACGAGCUUCGCCUCCCUCGACGAGAGAUGUCUUGCUGCAGACCCUGUGUCCCAUCCUCCUGCGGUGCCUCUGGCCCAACCCCACUUGCCAGCAGCUGCAGUGAGCCGUGUGUCGCCCGGUGCGCUGACUCGACGGUUGCCAUCCAGCCCUCCCCAGUCGUGGUGACCCUGCCGGGCCCCAUCCUCACCUCCUUCCCUCAGAACACCGCCGUGGGAUCCUCUCUGUCAGCUGCUGUUGGCAGCUCCCUCAGCAGUGGGGGGGUUCCCAUCUCUUCUGGGGGCUCCCUUGGUCUGGGGGGGUCAGGGCUGUGUCUGCCUUCCCCACUCUGCCGCUUCAACUGCUGAAGCGCGUGGAUCAUCCCAUUUGGGGGAGACAUCCCUGAGAUGGAUGGGCCGUUCUCUCUGCCUCCCUGAACCCUGCAAACUUUCUUCUUGGUCUCUGUACUGCUCUACUGCCUUUCCUCGUUCUCAUUAAAGACCUUGUGCAGCACA
Molecule: long non-coding RNA, 806 nt
Organism: Anas platyrhynchos (mallard)
Lineage: Eukaryota; Metazoa; Chordata; Aves; Anseriformes; Anatidae
Source: RefSeq, a predicted model, not a curated record